This 28-nucleotide non-coding RNA is filed under the name Mus musculus (house mouse). The record is from RNAcentral. Lineage: Eukaryota; Metazoa; Chordata; Mammalia; Rodentia; Muridae.
GAUGGCUGGUGGUGUGGCAGCUUCAACG